GAUGAAGAACGCAGCGAAAUGCGAUAAGUAAUGUGAAUUGCAGAUUUCAGUGAAUCAUCGAAUCUUUGAACGCACAUUGCGCCCGCCAGCACUCUGGCGGGCAUGCCUGUUCGAGCGUCAUUUCAACCAUUAAGCCCCAGGCUUGCGUUGGAGCCCUGCGGCUGCCGCAGCCUCCUAAAAGCAGUGGCGGGCUCGCUAUCACACCGAGUGCAGUAGAUUACUCUUCGCUCAGGGCGUGCAGCGGGUUCCGGCCGUGAAACCCCCUACUUUUAAAGGUUGACCUCGGAUCAGGUAGGAAUACCCGCUGAACUUAAGCAUAUCAAUAAGCGGAGGA
Molecule: unclassified non-coding RNA, 334 nt
Filed under: soil metagenome
Description: partial contains 5.8S ribosomal RNA, internal transcribed spacer 2, and large subunit ribosomal RNA
Rfam family: 5.8S ribosomal RNA (bases 1-120)
Source: RNAcentral